GGGUCGUUAACUCAGCCGGUAGAGUACCUCCCUUUUAAGGAGGGGGCCGAAGGUUCGAAUCCUUCACGACCCACCA
Molecule: transfer RNA, 76 nt
Filed under: Deltaproteobacteria bacterium
Lineage: Bacteria; Pseudomonadati; Myxococcota; Myxococcia
Description: tRNA-Lys
Rfam family: tRNA
About the family: Transfer RNA (tRNA) molecules are approximately 80 nucleotides in length. Their secondary structure includes four short double-helical elements and three loops (D, anti-codon, and T loops).
Source: RNAcentral